Long non-coding RNA from Acomys russatus (golden spiny mouse), 240 nucleotides. RefSeq lists it as uncharacterized. The transcript is spliced from 2 exons. Lineage: Eukaryota; Metazoa; Chordata; Mammalia; Rodentia; Muridae. The record is from RefSeq and is a predicted model, not a curated record.
AAACCCGCAGGGGCUGGAGAGACAGUUCAGUCCAUAAUGCCCCUUUCUCGCACACACGAGGACCUGGAUUCGAUCCCUAGAACCUAUGGGAAAAGGCUGGAUGUGAAAACCGAAACUACCACCACCAACCAGAAAUAUUUAUUCCAAGAGAAACAAACCAUGUCCUUUCAAAAAGGAGCAAGAAAUGACCUGCUGUCUAUUUGAUCAGGGAGGACACGUGGAAGAAGAAAGCAGUGCAUC